AACUAACGCUGGCGGCGUGCCUAACACAUGCAAGUCGUACGAGAAAGCCGGCUUCGGCUGGUGAGUAAAGUGGCGCACGGGUGAGUAACGCGUGGAUAAUCUGCCCUUAAGUGUGGAAUAACGUACCGAAAGGUGCGCUAAUACCGCAUAAUGCCUGGCAACACAAGUUGUCCGGCCAAAGAAGGCCUCUGUUUACAAGCUUUCGCUUCAGGAUGAGUCCGCGUACCAUUAGCUUGUUGGUGGGGUAAUGGCCUACCAAGGCUGCGAUGGUUAGCUGGUCUGAGAGGAUGAUCAGCCACACUGGAACUGAGACACGGUCCAGACUCCUACGGGAGGCAGCAGUGGGGAUAUUGCGCAAUGGGGGAAACCCUGACGCAGCGACGCCGCGUGAGCGAAGAAGGCCUUCGGGUUGUAAAGCUCUGUUCUAAGGGACGAAGGACUUGGCUGUGAAUAAUGGUCAAGGGUGACGGUACCUUAGGAGAAAGCCCCGGCUAACU
RNAcentral lists this ribosomal RNA (497 nucleotides) under uncultured bacterium. Its description in RNAcentral is "bacterial SSU rRNA". It matches the Rfam family "Bacterial small subunit ribosomal RNA", at positions 29 to 502 of the family's 1533-position model. The record is from RNAcentral.